RNAcentral lists this ribosomal RNA (253 nucleotides) under uncultured bacterium. RNAcentral describes it as "partial 16S ribosomal RNA". It matches the Rfam family "Bacterial small subunit ribosomal RNA", at positions 524 to 776 of the family's 1533-position model. The record is from RNAcentral.
GACGUAGGGCGCGAGCGUUGUCCGGAAUUAUUGGGCGUAAAGAGCUCGUAGGCGGUCUGUCGCGUCUGCUGUGAAAACUCAGGGCUUAACCCUGAGCUUGCAGUGGGUACGGGCAGACUAGAGUGCGGUAGGGGAGACUGGAAUUCCUGGUGUAGCGGUGAAAUGCGCAGAUAUCGGGAGGAACACCGGUGGCGAAGGCGGUUCUCUGGGCCUUACCUGACGCUGAGGAGCGAAAGCGUGGGGAGCGAACAGG